Molecule: transfer RNA, 74 nt
Filed under: Methanomicrobiales archaeon
Lineage: Archaea; Methanobacteriati; Methanobacteriota; Methanomicrobia; Methanomicrobiales
Description: tRNA-His
Rfam family: tRNA
About the family: Transfer RNA (tRNA) molecules are approximately 80 nucleotides in length. Their secondary structure includes four short double-helical elements and three loops (D, anti-codon, and T loops).
Source: RNAcentral
GCCAGGGUGGGGUAGUCUGGACAUCCUAGGGGACUGUGGAUCCCUCGACCCGGGUUCGAAUCCCGGCUCUGGCC